CCCAGCAUUUAGAAGCGACCACAGAAUGUCUGUGUUCUGGUCCUCCAUAAUGUGGGGAGAGGAGCUGCUGAAAGCCACUUCCCGUGUUUGAAAGGUCCUGUCCUCUCCCUCUCAAAUGCUGCUUUCUCACA
Arvicola amphibius (Eurasian water vole) is the source of this 131-nucleotide small nucleolar RNA. RefSeq annotates it as small nucleolar RNA SNORA71. Lineage: Eukaryota; Metazoa; Chordata; Mammalia; Rodentia; Cricetidae. The record is from RefSeq and is a predicted model, not a curated record. The transcript has a single exon.